AGAGCUACAACAGAAAAAGAUUUCAUACAUCAUGUUCCAAAUUCCAAUGAUCACACGCCAGUAGUUGCUCCAAGUCCCCAAAUAAGAAACCAUCUGAUAAAAUUAGGAAAGAGGACAAACAUUUGCUACAAAUACGACUGCUCUCACCACUUCUCUUUUCUUUUAGGAACUAAAAUUUCACUUCCUUGACCAUUUGAGACAUCUAAAUAAAAACCAUCUGAUAAAUUAGGAAAGAGGACAAACAUUUGCUACAAAUACGACUGCUCUCACCACUUCUCUUUUCUUUUAGGAACUAAAAUUUCACUUCCUUGACCAUUUGAGACAUCUAAAUAAAAACACCAAUCCAUCACUCUGCUCAUCACAGUC
RNAcentral lists this long non-coding RNA (366 nucleotides) under Populus tremula. RNAcentral's name for it is "long non-coding RNA (PTRE_LNC000445)". Lineage: Eukaryota; Viridiplantae; Streptophyta; Magnoliopsida; Malpighiales; Salicaceae. The record is from RNAcentral.